Molecule: small nucleolar RNA, 94 nt
Filed under: Trichoderma harzianum
Lineage: Eukaryota; Fungi; Ascomycota; Sordariomycetes; Hypocreales; Hypocreaceae
Description: Hypocrea lixii A. fumigatus snoRNA Afu_335
Rfam family: A. fumigatus snoRNA Afu_335
Source: Rfam by way of RNAcentral
CAACAUGAUGAACCCCAGAUAGGGACAUCUUAUGCUACGGCAUGUGAUGAGAACCCGGGCGAUUAUUUUAGUAGAUGCUUCGACCUUUCUGAUA